This 207-nucleotide ribosomal RNA is filed under the name uncultured bacterium. RNAcentral describes it as "partial 16S ribosomal RNA". It matches the Rfam family "Bacterial small subunit ribosomal RNA", at positions 568 to 774 of the family's 1533-position model. The record is from RNAcentral.
CAUGUAGGCGGUUGGAUAAGUCUGUUGUUAAAGCCCCCGGCUCAACUGGGGGAGGUCAAUGGAGACUGUCCGACUUGAGGGCAACAGAGGCACAUGGAACUCCCGGUGUAGCGGUGGAAUGCGUAGAGAUCGGGAAGAACACCCGUGGCGAAGGCGGUGUGCUGGGUUGCAACUGACGCUGAGAUGCGAAAGUGUGGGUAGCAAACG